AUGUUGACCAGGAAUUUUCUCAUCUUCUGCUCUCUGGCAGCUGUGCUAGUACAAGCUGACCUCGAUACUAAUAGCAAUCAUGCUGCCCAAGCCAUGUCCACAGAUAAGGACUCAACCUCGGAUGAAGCACCAACUGAGAUCAUGAACGCCAUCUCCUCGGACCAGUCUAACCAUGUAAGCCGCACAAGUGUAGAAGUUGGACAAGAUGCUUCUAAACCUAACGGGGUGACUGGACCUGGAGGCACGGCAAACACUGUUGAGGACCGUGAAGAGGAUGAAAGCUCUGAUGAAGGUGUGAGAAUCGUUCCUCCACCUCCUCCUCCUGCUGCUCCACAACAGAAGUCACGGAAGUUAGUUGGGCCAGCAGGUGGUAACCGAAGAAAGGCAGCAGCACCAAAACAGAAGAGGAGAUCACGGCCCUCUCGUCGUCAACCCUGAAACACCACAAAGACACACAAAGGCAAACAUUUAAUUUUAGUGAUUACGUAGAAAAAAAAACAUGUUGAAUCUUAUUACUGUGUAUGCCAUAACAUGGACGUGUACAGAACCGUUCACACAUGAUGAAGCUGUUUUCUGUAUCUUGGGCUGUAAAACAAAGUCAGCAUGACAUGGCAUAUUGUUUACUUUAACACCUGUGGAACAACUCAGUGGUAGGUUCAACACAAACUUAUGGGGCCUUUCUCUGUGAAUAAAAUGUACCAUUGCAUUUACCAUUUAAUGUGAUGACAUGACAACAGGCCCAAAAACACCAGUCUGAGACCAGUUCACGCAUCCAUUGAAAUCCACGACGAGGCAUGCUUUUUGCAGCAUCAUGACUUGACACUGACCUUGAGAGCCAAUGAAACUGCUCUAAAUUCACCAACCUGUUUCAAAAUAGAAAGGACCUCCCUCACAUGAAAAUAAACUCAGCAACAAAAAAAACAUUCUCUCACUGUCAACUGCGUUUAUUUUCAGCAAACUUAACAUGUGUAAAUAUGUGUAUGAACAUAACAUAAACUGAACAAGUUCCACAGACAUGUGACUAACAUAAAUGGAAUAAUGUGUCCCUGAACAAAAUCAAAAGUAACAGUCAGUAUCUGGUGUGGCCACCAGCUGCAUUACGUACUGCAGUGCAUCUCCUCCUCAUGGAGUGCACCAGAUUUGUCAGUUCUUGCUGUGAGAUGUUACCCCACUCUUCCACCAAGGCACCUGCAAGUUCCCAGACAUUUCUGGGGGGAAGGGCCCUAGCCCUCAUCCUCUGAUCCAACAGGUCCCAGACGUGCUCAAUGGGAUUGAGAUCUUGGCUCUUCACUGGCCAUGGCAGAACACUGACAUUCCUGUCUUGCAGGAAAUCUCGCACAGAACGAGCAGUAUGGCUGGUGGCAUUGUCAUGCUGGAGGGUCAUGUCAGGAUGAGCCUGCAGGAAGGGUAUCACAUGAGGGAGGUGUCUUCCCUGUAACACACAGUGUGGAGAUUGUUUGCAAUGACAACAAUCUCAGUCCAAUGAUGCUGUGACACACUACCCCAGACCAUGAUGGACCCUCCACCUCCAAAUCGAUCCCGCUCCAGAGUUCAGACCUUGGUGUAACGCUCAUUCCUUCGACGAUAAAUGCGAACCCGACCAUCACCCCUGGUGAUACAAAACCUUGACUCGUCAGUGAAGACCACUUUUUGCCAGUCCUGUCUGGUCCAGCGACGGUGGGUUUGUGCCCAUGGGUGACGUUGUUGACGGUGAUGUCUGGUCAGGACCUGCCUUACAACAGGUCUACAAGCCCUCAGUCCAGCCUCUCUCAACCUAAUGUGGACAGUCUGAGCACUGAUGGAGGGAUUGUGCGUUCCUGGUGUAACUCGGGCAGUUGUUGUCAUCCUGUACCUGUCCCACAGGUGUGAUGUUCAGAUGUAUUGAUCCUGUGCAGGUGUUGUUACACAUGGUCUGCCACUGCGAGGACGAUCAGCUGUCCGUCCUGUCUCCCUGUAGCGCUGUGUUAGGCGUCUCACAGUACAGACAUUGCAAUGUAUUUCCCUUGCCACAUCUGCAGUCCUAAUUUCUCCUUGCAGCAUGCCUAAGGCACGUUCACGCAGAUGAGCAGGGACCCUGGGCAUCUUUAUUUUGGUGUUUUUCAGUGUCAGUAGAAAGGCCUCUUUAGUGUCCUAAGUUUUCAUACCUGUGACCUUAAUUGCCUACCGUCUGUAAGCUGUUUGUUCAUUAAUUGUUUAUGGUUCAUUGAACAAGCAUUGGAAACAGUGUUUAAACCCUUUACAAUGAAGAUCUGUGAAGUUUCUGGGAUUUUUACAAAUUAUCUUUCAAAGACAGGGUCCUGAAAAAGGGAUGUUUCUUUUUUUGCUGAGUUUACCUCCUUUUCUAAGGGAGCGCACACACUGCACUGAAUGUCGAUGUGCCUUUCAUCUGCUGUUCGUUUACUGCUCGUUCACCGCACGUUUGACUGCCAACAUUUCUACAUGUAGAAUCGGUUUGCACUCGGUUAGCAAAUUACGGCUGGUGGUCAGAGGUGCUAAGUACUCUCGGGGUCAAACGCUACCGGUCUGUCUAUACUAGAUUCUUGCUAUUUUGAUUAUUAGCCAGUUGGUGGAAAUACGGAGUUACAAACUAAGACAAAUAACUGUCCUUAGCUAAGGUGAAAAGACUAGAUAUACUUUAUCAACUCUAUUUUUCAUCAUCCUUUACAGAAAAUUGUUAAAGAAAUCACAGAAUCUCUCUCAGAGUUGAGGACAAUACAGUACAUUUGACUGAUGCUGCCUACCAGAAGGCUGUUAAACUGUAGUCAGUCUUGGCAUAGAUUUAGUGGAUAGCCUAAAAAUAACCCUGCUCUCCAACACAAAGCCAGUGUUUCAAUCCAAAGUGUUUCUUAGUUUUUUCUAAUCCACACUUUUAUACACACAGUAUUUGACACAUUAUGUAUUAAACAUGUUUGAUGAAUAAACAUAUCAAAACAGGUUUACGUGUAAACCUCUGUCGCUUACAUCUCUAAAUAAACUUCUUUGAGCAAAGUGAUAUGUCUACUUGACUGAUUUCCAUUCUUGAACCAUGUCCGAUUGUUAAAAAUGAAUCAAAUUGAGAUUGUAUUCCAACAUAACAAACAGGAUUAAAUAAUGGUGCUUUAUUUACAGUAAAUGGCCUUGAUUAGCUGGCAUUUCAGAAUGCUUUUCUUAUUCUGGUUAACAUGUAAAAUCUUGAUAGAACACCCACAUGUUCUACUUUAAAUCAUUUCUAACUGUUUCAAGGCAGGGUAUCUGGAAAUGAAAAUUAGACAUGCAAAUAUGAGGACCCAAGUACAAUGCUAAUAAUAUUUAAUUAAUUUUAUUACCAUUUUCCAUCUUAUUAUAUACUGUAAGUGGUCUUUUUGGUACAGUUCAUGCAAUUAAGUGCAACCAUAUUUUGUUUACAGUGGGGGUGUGCACACUGCUCUCUGUUUCUGACCUGAAGCUUCCUGUGUUCUGAAUACCAAUCCUGGAGUCACUGCUCUGUUUCUGACCUGAAGCUUCCUGUGUUCUGAAUACCAAUCCUGGAGUCACUGCUCUGUUUCUGACCUGAAGCUUCCUGUGUUCUGAAUACCAAUCCUGGAGUCACUGCUCUGUUUCUGACCUGAAGCUUCCUGUGUUCUGAAUACCAAUCCUGGAGUCACUGCUCUGUUUCUGACCUGAAGCUUCCUGUGUUCUGAAUACCAAUCCUGGAGUCACUGCUCUGUUUCUGACCUGAAGCUUCCUGUGUUCUGAAUACCAAUCCUGGAGUCACUGCUCUGUUUCUGUCCUGAAGCUUCCUGUGUUCUGAAUACCAAUCCUGCAGUCACUGCUCUGUUUCUGACCUGAAGCUUCCUGUGUUCUGAAUACCAAUCCUGGAGUCACUGCUCUGUUUCUGACCUGAAGCUUCCUGUGUUCUGAAUACCAAUCCUGGAGUCACUGCUCUGUUUCUGACCUGAAGCUUCCUGUGUUCUGAAUACCAAUCCUGGAGUCACUGCUCUGUUUCUGACCUGAAGCUUCCUGUGUUCUGAAUACCAAUCCUGCAGUCACUGCUCUGUUUCUGACCUGAAGCUUCCUGUGUUCUGAAUACCAAUCCUGGAGUCACUGCUCUGUUUCUGACCUGAAGCUUCCUGUGUUCUGAAUACCAAUCCUGCAGUCACUGCUCUGUUUCUGACCUGAAGCUUCCUGUGUUCUGAAUACCAAUCCUGCAGUCACUGCUCUGUUUAUGACCUGAAGCUUCCUGUGUUCUGAAUACCAAUCCUGCAGUCACUGCUCUGUUUAUGACCUGAAGCUUCCUGUGUUCUGAAUACCAAUCCUGCAGUCACUGCUCUGUUUAUGACCUGAAGCUUCCUGUGUUCUGAAUACCAAUCCUGGAGUCUGCCAAUAUGAGUCUUGAGCUUUUCUCCAGCGUACUACUACUCUGGCAUGCACUGUUUUAACAUUUCCAAACUACCUAGUGUAUAUAUUUGACAUUAGUGACCCCAUUACCUGUGUGACUGCACAGAAAGUGGGUAACCCUACUCGAGGUUGCUUCUAGUGUAAUGGGAUUUUUCAGCAACCUGAAAUAAAGUCUGACUUUUAAUCCCCACACUGAGCCAUCAGAGUUAUGAACCACCAAUACAACAACAGCAUUACCUGUUCUAUUCCCUCCAUAAAGGUCAAGCCAUUCUCAGUCACACACUGAAGCUGAUACUCACCCGCUACUGGACACCCCUGACUGUUUCCCUGUGACGUCUGCAGUCCGAUAUGUUCAACUUCUGGUGCCGGCAUGAGCCCUUUUCGGAUGGAUAAGCCCCUGGAUCCGGCCCCUCCUCAGAGAGGGGCAACCAGGGUCUACUUUCUCUCUCAGCCGAAUCCCACACCACCAUGCAAGAAGGUUUAAGAGGACAAGCCUCCAAGCCUAUCUUAUGAGGCACUAAGACUACCUCAACUCCCCAUCCUUCACUCCAUCCUCCCAGAUCUUAUAUUUUCUUUGAGGGGUUUGACUUCUAAAGUGACACACAAACACACACCGGCAGGACAAAACAACACUCAGCCCGGUUCCUCCAGAUUCUGUCGACCUUUUAUGGGUCACUGGUCUCCGGUGUCACCUUCCUUUGCUGGGUUUCCCCCCUCUUCGCUGCGACC
Molecule: long non-coding RNA, 5085 nt
Filed under: Oncorhynchus mykiss (rainbow trout)
Lineage: Eukaryota; Metazoa; Chordata; Actinopteri; Salmoniformes; Salmonidae
Description: lncRNA (ENSOMYG00000065830.1)
Source: RNAcentral